This 253-nucleotide ribosomal RNA is filed under the name uncultured bacterium. Its description in RNAcentral is "partial 16S ribosomal RNA". It matches the Rfam family "Bacterial small subunit ribosomal RNA", at positions 524 to 776 of the family's 1533-position model. The record is from RNAcentral.
UACGAAGGGGGCUAGCGUUGUUCGGAAUUACUGGGCGUAAAGGGUUCGUAGGUGGCCAACUAAGUCAGACGUGAAAUCCCUCGGCUCAACCGGGGAACUGCGUCUGAUACUGGUUGGCUUGAGUGCAGGAGAGGAACGCGGAAUUCCAGGUGUAGCGGUGAAAUGCGUAGAUAUCUGGAGGAACACCGGUGGCGAAGGCGGCGUUCUGGACUGCAACUGACACUGAGGAACGAAAGCCAGGGGAGCAAACGGG